CAAUAGCGUAUAUUAAAGUUGUUGCAGUUAAAAAGCUCGUAGUUGGAUUUCUGGCCGAGUGUCCCUAGGCCAGCAUGACGUUUGGUCCUAGGCGCUCUGCCAUCCUUCUGUCAACCUUCGCCUUCUUCAUUGGGGGCGCUGGGGCUCAGAUAUUUUACCUUGAGAAAAUUAGAGUGUUUCAGGCAGGCUUUCGCCGGAAUACAUUAGCAUGGAAUAAUGGAAAAGGACUUCAACCUCUUCUGUUGGUCUGAGAGGCUGUAGUAAUGAUUAAUAGGGAACUAGUUGGGGGGCAUUUAGUACUUUACAGUUCUAGAGGUGGAAAGUUAACUUCCGUUAGGUUUAGUUUUAAAGUACGUAAAACGUUAACGUAACGUUCCGUAAAGGCCGAAAAGUUUCGACCUUUAAGGGACCUAAGGGUUUUACUAGUUUUUUAACUACUU
This 440-nucleotide ribosomal RNA is filed under the name uncultured eukaryote. Its description in RNAcentral is "bacterial SSU rRNA". It matches the Rfam family "Eukaryotic small subunit ribosomal RNA", at positions 592 to 954 of the family's 1831-position model. The record is from RNAcentral.